Molecule: long non-coding RNA, 3067 nt
Filed under: Homo sapiens (human)
Lineage: Eukaryota; Metazoa; Chordata; Mammalia; Primates; Hominidae
Description: HSALNT0236656
Source: RNAcentral
ACACGGUUUCACCGUGUUGGCCAGGCUGGUCUUGAACUCCUGACCUCAGGUGAUCCGCCCGCCUUGGCCUCCCAAAGUUCUGGAAUUACAGGUGCGAACCACUGGGCCUGGCCCGAAUCUUCUUCUUUAUUGCUUCAAGUUAACUGUGCUUGGGGGAUAAAGGGAGGAGUCUGAAUUUGUGGUGAGGCAGAUAGGGGGACACUGCAGUACUUUGAAGGAGUUACAAGCUUCUUAGAGGUAUUAGAGAGAGGUUCCACACCUAAGGCUGAUGUGGUCUUAGAUGGGGGUGAGGAACUUGUUGGGAACUGGAGCAAAAGUGACUCUUACUGUGCUUUAGCAAAGAGACUGGCAGCUUUUUCUCCCUGCCCUAGAGAUAUGUGGAACUCUGAACUUAAGAGAGAUGAUUUUGGGUAUCUGGUGGAAUAAGUUUCUAAGCAGCAAAACAUUCAAGAGGAAGCAUUGCAUAAAAAUUUGGAAAAUUUGCAACCUGACGAUGCAAUAGAAUAGAAAAACCCGGCUGGGCAUGGUUGCUCACACUUGUAAUCCCAGCACUUUGGGAGGGAGAGGAGGGCGGAUCACCUGAGGUCGGGAGUUCAAGACCAGCCUGACCAACAUGGAGAAACCUCGUCUCACUAAAAAUACAAAAUUAGCCGGGCAUGGUGGUGCAUGCCUGUAAUCCCAGCUACUUGGGAGGGUGAGGCAGGAGAAUCACUUGAACCUGGGAGGCCUCUGCCGGUGAGUCAAGAUCACACCAUUGCACUCCAGCCUGGGCAACAAGAGCGAAAUUCCGUCUCAAAAAAAAGAAAAAAAAGAAAAAAGAAAUUGGAGGGAGUAUAAAUAAGAACAGUUACUAUGGAAGACACUGUAAAGGACAUAAAGAAUAGAAAUGAGAAAAGUGAACCAAUGAAGUGGAAAUAUGGUAGAUUAAAAACAAUAUGGGAAAAUUAUGUAUAUAUAUACAUAUAUAUAAGAUGCAAAGGAAAUUAAAUAUGCAAUAUAUGCAUAGUUGAAAUCUCUAAAAAAUAAAACCAAAACAAUAGAUAAAACAUACAGCUAAAGAUAUAAUUCAAGAAAGUUUUCUUGAAAUUGGCCAGGCAUGGUGGCUAAUGCCUGUAACCCAGGCGUUUUGGGAGGCCAAGGAGGGAGGAUCACUUGAGGCCAGGAGUUCGAAACCAGACCAGGUAACAUAGUGAGACUCUGUCUCUCCUUUAAAAAGAAAAGAAAGUUCUCCUGAAAUAAAAGAGGCUUGAAUCUAUGAUGAAAGAGAAAGCUAGAUGUCAGGGAAAACUGAUCAAGAAUGUUUUUGUUGAGACCUGGCCUAGUAAAGUUAUUGAGUUUUAAAAAUAAAGAAAUUUAUGAGCAGCCAGGAAAAAAGAUAAAUUCCUUUUUUCUUUUAGGGGAUAAAAAUCAGGCUAGCCUUGGAUGUCUGCAGACCCAUGUUGAAUGCUGGAAGAGAUGGAGCAAGUAGUCAAGGAAAGAAAACAUGAGUCAGGGAUUUCAUUAAAAGACCAUAAAGUUUUUUUCCCUCUCCCCUCUCCCCUCCUUCUGGCAACCACUGAUCUUUUUACUGUCUCAAUAGUUUUGCCUUUCCAGAAUAUAGUAUAAUAUAGUUGGAUAUAUAUAAUUUAUAGCUUUUUCAGACUGACUUCUUCUUUUUGUUUUUUAUUGUUUGUUUGUUUGUUUUUGAGACAGAGUUUUGCUCUCGUUGCCCAGGCUGGAGUGCAAUGGUGUGAUCUUGGCUCACCGCAACUUUUGCCUCUUGGGUUCAAGUGAUUCUCCUGCCUCAACCUCCCGAGUAGCUGGGAUUACAGGCAUGCGCCACCACGCCCGGCUUGACUGACCUCUUUCACUUAGCAAUAUACACUUAAGCUUCCUCCAUGUCUUUUCAUGGCUUGAUAGCUCAUUUCUUUUUUAGCUGGAUAAUUUUCCUUUGCAUGGAUGUACCAUAGUUUGCUUAUCAUUUCAUGUACUGAAGGAUCUGUUGGUUGCUUCCAAUGUUUGGCAAUUAUGAAAAGCUGCUGUAGACAUUUGUGUUGGGGUUUUCAUGGGGAUAUAAGCAUUCAACUCCUUUGGGUAAAUACCUAGGAGCAUGAUUGCUGGAUUGUAUGGUAAGCCUAUGUUUAGCUUUAUUAGAAACUUCCAAACUGUCUUCCAGAGUGGUUAUACUAUUUUGCGUUCCAACCAGCAAUGAAUGAGAGUUUCUCUUGUUCCACAUCCUUGCCAACAUUUGGUGUUGUCAAUGUUUUGGAUUUUAGCCAUUUUAAUAGAUGUGUAGCAGAGUUCAACUGUUAUUUUAUUUUAUUUUAUUUUAUUUUAUUUUAUUUUUGAGACAGAGUCUUACUCUGCUGCCCAGGCUGGAGUGCAGUGAUACGAUCACUGCUCACUGCUGCCUUGACCUCUUGUCCUCCAGCAACCCUUCCACCUCAGCCUCCCAAGUAGCUGGAACCAUGGUGUGUGGCACCAAGCCUGGCUAAUUUAAAGAACGUUUUUUUGUAGAGACGGUGGUCUCCCUAUGUUGCCCAGACUGGUCUCGAACUCCUGGGCACAAGUGAUCCCCCAGCUUUGGCCACCCAGGUAUGAGCCACCGUGCCUGACCAUCCAAAUGUUACUUUAAUUUUAAAUUCCCUAAUGACAUAUGACGCUGAGCAUCUUUUCAUAUGCUAUUUGCCAUAUAUGUGCCUUCUUUGGUGAGGUGUCUCUUCAGAUAUUUUGCCCAUUUUGAAAUUGUGUAGUUUAUUUUCUUGAUGUUCAGUUUUUGGAGUUUAUUGUAAAUUUUGGAUACAACUCUUUAUCAGAUAUGUGUUUUGGAAAUAUUUUCUCCCAGUCUGUGGCUUGUCUUUAUUCUCUAAACCGUAGACAAUUUUGAGAAUGCAUGAUCUUAGGAAAUAUAGUUCUCAUGAGCCCUUCUUGAAGAAAUUACUGGAGGAUAAACUCGAGUCAACUAAGGGCUAGCAAAAAAGUAAAUUUUAGCAAAAGGAAGGCAGUGAAUGUUUAAUAUAUUUAACACAGAACUAAGACCAAAACAGGCCAGGUCCAGUGACUCACACCUGUAAUCCCAGCACUUUGG